UGUGUAACUCCGGUAGGGCAACAUCUGAAAAAUAACGCACUUGGUAGUGUGUACCGGUGCUCGACCAGUCUGUGAAUGCCAACAUCACCCAUGACAGAGAACAGUUGAUUGUCAAGGGCAAUGAAUACCAUUAUCUUGGCAUUAAAGUAUUUCGCCUUUGAGUUGUCUCUCUGUGUUGCAUGUGUAGCGCAACAUUUUACGCGGCGUCAAUACGUGAUAUAGGUAGCUUUGACAUCGGUUUUGUGAUAUAGGUAGCUUUGACAUCGGUUUUGUGAUAUAGGUAGCUUUGACAUCGGUUUUGUGAUAUAGGUAGCUUUGACAUCGGUUUUGUGAUAUAGGUAGCUUUGACAUCGGUUUUGUGAUAUAGGUAGCUUUGACAUCGGUUUUGUGAUAUAGGUAGCUUUGACAUCGGUUUUGUGAUAUAGGUAGCUUUGACAUCGGUUUUGUGAUAUAGGUAGCUUUGACAUCGGUUUUGUGAUAUAGGUAGCUUUGACAUCGGUUUUGUGAUAUAGGUAGCUUUGACAUUGGUUUUGCACAUCGGCGUUAAACUAGACAUUGGGCCGAUGUUGGCAUUUUUAGCUAAUAUCGACCUAUUUCGAUAUCGUCACUAUUAUAUUGUGCAUCCCUACUGUAGAUGCUGGUAAAAAAUAGUGGUGUAGAUUGAGGUAUAGAUACUGAUAUACUGUAGAUGCCUUUAUAGAUAGUGGUAUAGAUAGUGGUAUACUGUAGAUGCUGGUAUAGAGUGGUAUACUGUAGAUGCUGGUAUAGAUAGUAAUAUACUGUAGAUGCCGAUAUAGAUGCUCGUAUAGAUAGUGGUAUACUGUAGAUGUUGGUAUAGAUAGUGGUAUAGAUAGUAAUAUACGGUAGAUGCCGAUAUAGAUGCUCGUAUAGAUAGUGGUAUACUGUAGAUGUUGGUAUAGAUAGUGGUAUAGAUAGUAAUAUACGGUAGAUGCUGGUAUAGAUGCUCGUAUAGAUAGUGGUAUACUGUAGAUGUUGGUAUAGAUAGUGGUAUAGAUAGUAAUAUACGGUAGAUGCUGGUAUAGAUGCUCGUAUAGAUAGUGGUAUACUGUAGACAUUGGUAUAGAUAGUGGUAUAGAUAGUAAUAUACUGUAGAUGCCGAUAUAGAUGCUCGUAUAGAUAGUGGUAUACUGUAGACAUUGGUAUAGAUAGUGGUAUAGAUAGUAAUAUACGGUAGAUGCCGGUGUAGAUCAUGGUACAGGUAGUGUAUACUGUAGAUGCUGGUAUAGAGUGGUAUACUGUAGAUGCUGGUAUAGAUAGUAAUAUACUGUAGAUGCCGAUAUAGAUGCUCGUAUAGAUAGUGGUAUACUGUAGAUGUUGGUAUAGAUAGUGGUAUAGAUAGUAAUAUACGGUAGAUGCCGGUGUAGAUCAUGGUACAGGUAGUGUAUAUUGUAGAUGUUGUUAUACAUACUGGAAUAGGUAGUGGUAUAGGUAGUGGUAUAGAGUGCUUUCAGGAAGUAUUCACACAUUGUGUUGUGUUACAGCCUAAAUUUAAAAUGAAUUAAACUGAUAUUUUUGGUCACUGGCCUACACACAAUACCCAUUAUGGUUUAAGACAUUUUUACAAAUUAAGAAAAAAUGAAAAGCUAAAAUAUCUUGUAAAUUCAGGAGUAAAGAAGUGCUUAACAUGUCACAUAAUAAGUUGUAUGGACUCACUCUAUGUGCAAGAAUAGUGUUUAAGAUUAUUUAUUUUUUUACCCCGCACAUUAUUUGAGAUGAGCGAUGAGGAAGUCAUAAAAAAAUCAUGUUAAACACUAUUCUUGCACAUAAAUAUUACUAAUCACUGAAUCCUCUGCUCUCUGCGCCUGACUCCUACCCACCACUCCUAGUAACCGGUGACACAGUUACAGAGUUUAAUGCCUGUGGUAGGAGAAAACUGACAGCAACAUUGCAGUUACUCCACAAUACUAACAUAAUUGACAGAGUUAAAAGAAGGAAGCCUGUACAUAAUAAAACAUAAUAAAAUAUAUUCCAAAACAUGCAUCCUGUUUGCAACAAAGCACUAAUACUGCAAAAAUGUGGCAAAGCAAUUCACUUUUUGUCCUGAAGACAGUGUUAUUUUUGAGGCAAAUCCAUUACUGAGUACCACACUAUGUUUUCAAGCACAGUGGUGGCUGCAUCAUGUUAUGGGUGUGCUUGUAAUCGUUAAGUACUGGGGAGUAUUUCAGGAUAAAACAUUUACGGAAUGAGUGGAGGACAGAGGAGCCUCUUAAAUAAGAAGUAACAGGUCUGUGAGAGCCAGAAAUCUUACUUGUUUGUUAUUGACCAAAUACUUAUUUUCCACCAUAAUUUGCAAAUAAAUUCAUUA
Long non-coding RNA from Oncorhynchus keta (chum salmon), 2326 nucleotides. RefSeq lists it as uncharacterized. The transcript has 3 exons. Lineage: Eukaryota; Metazoa; Chordata; Actinopteri; Salmoniformes; Salmonidae. The record is from RefSeq and is a predicted model, not a curated record.